UUAUCUCCUUAAGAAAAUAAAUACAAACAGAAGAAGUUAGAGGGAAGUCAAUCUAGACUUAAGCAGAGAGGUAUGAUCGGGAUAAUUCUGAUAUAAAUAGGGAAAACAUACACAAAGCUCAAGUAGAGUAUAUAUACUGGCUUAAGAAGAAAGAUUUUAUUCUGAAAUAAAAGGCUAGGAUAAAAUAGGCAGAGGAAGGAAAUACAAAUUCAAAAUAUUUUCAUAGUG
This 228-nucleotide long non-coding RNA is filed under the name Capsicum annuum. RNAcentral describes it as "long non-coding RNA (CANN_LNC002895)". Lineage: Eukaryota; Viridiplantae; Streptophyta; Magnoliopsida; Solanales; Solanaceae. The record is from RNAcentral.